AAGGAUUCCCCUAGUAACUGCGAGUGAAGAGGGAAAAGCUCAAAUUUAAAAUCUGGCGGGCUCUGCUCGUCCGAGUUGUAAUCUGGAGAAGCGUUUUCCGCGUCGGACCGUGCACAAGUCUCCUGGAACGGAGCGUCAUAGAGGGUGAGAAUCCCGUCCAUGGCACGGAGCGCCGAUGCUUUGUGAUACGUUUUCAAAGAGUCGAGUUGUUUGGGAAUGCAGCUCAAAACGGGUGGUAAAUUCCAUCUAAAGCUAAAUAUUGGCGAGAGACCGAUAGCGAACAAGUACCGUGAGGGAAAGAUGAAAAGCACUUUGGAAAGAGAGUUAAACAGUACGUGAAAUUGUUGAAAGGGAAACGCUUGAAGUCAGUCGCGUCCGACGGAACUCAGCCUUGCUUCGGCCUGGUGUACUUUCUGUCGGACGGGUCAACAUCAGUUUUGACCGGUGGAGAAAGGUAGGGGGAAUGUAGCGCCGUUUCGGCGGCGUGUUAUAGCCCCUUGCUGUAUGCAUCGGUCGGGACUGAGGACCGCAGCACGCCUUUUUGGCCGGGGGUUCGCCCUACGUACCGUGCUUAGGAUGUUGGCAUAAUGGCUUUAGCGAC
This 601-nucleotide ribosomal RNA is filed under the name Phellinus cinereus. RNAcentral describes it as "partial 28S ribosomal RNA". It matches the Rfam family "Eukaryotic large subunit ribosomal RNA", at positions 70 to 648 of the family's 3401-position model. The record is from RNAcentral. Lineage: Eukaryota; Fungi; Basidiomycota; Agaricomycetes; Hymenochaetales; Hymenochaetaceae.